UGGGGAAUAUUGCGCAAUGGGGGGAACCCUGACGCAGCCAUGCCGCGUGAAUGAAGAAGGCCUUCGGGUUGUAAAGUUCUUUCGGUAUUGAGGAAGGAGUGUAUGUUAAUAGCAUACAUUAUUGACGUUAAAUACAGAAGAAGCACCGGCUAACUCCGUGCCAGCAGCCGCGGUAAUACGGAGGGUGCGAGCGUUAAUCGGAAUAACUGGGCGUAAAGGGCACGCAGGCGGUUAUUUAAGUGAGGUGUGAAAGCCCCGGGCUUAACCUGGGAAUUGCAUUUCAGACUGGGUAACUAGAGUACUUUAGGGAGGGGUAGAAUUCCACGUGUAGCGGUGAAAUGCGUAGAGAUGUGGAGGAAUACCGAAGGCGAAGGCAGCCCCUUGGGAAUGUACUGACGCUCAUGUGCGAAAGCGUGGGGAGCAAACAGG
RNAcentral lists this ribosomal RNA (429 nucleotides) under uncultured bacterium. RNAcentral's name for it is "partial 16S ribosomal RNA". It matches the Rfam family "Bacterial small subunit ribosomal RNA", at positions 355 to 776 of the family's 1533-position model. RNAcentral also lists the same sequence under 2 other names. The record is from RNAcentral.